UCCUUAUUGGAUAUUCCUUGACAACAACAACAACACGCUUCACCAUCUUGUAUACUUCCGUCAAUUUUCUCGUAAAACAGUUUAUUUCUCCUCCUCCUGGACAUUACAGCAAGUGUUUGAUACUGUGAUGUUACAUCUCAAGACCAAGUGUAAUUAAGUAGAAGUUCACAAUGUCAAGCAGAGAUAAAAAGUUCUCCUGUGAGGAAUGUGGCAAACAGUUUUGCUUAAAGUCUACUCUUCAGAAACAUUUACUUGUGCACAAUGGUAUGAAGGAGUUUGAAUGUGAGGAAUGUGGGAAACAUUUGUCAUCUAAGAGUCAUCUCAAAAGACACAUUCUUGGACACAGUGGUGUAAGAAAUUUUGAAUGUGAGGAAUGUGGAAAAUGUUUCUCCCAGAAGAGAUAUCUCAAGGCACACAUUCUUGGACACAGUGGUAU
Molecule: long non-coding RNA, 436 nt
Organism: Homarus americanus (American lobster)
Lineage: Eukaryota; Metazoa; Arthropoda; Malacostraca; Decapoda; Nephropidae
Exons: 2
Source: RefSeq, a predicted model, not a curated record